CCUACGGGAGGCAGCAGUGAGGAAUAUUGGUCAAUGGACGAGAGUCUGAACCAGCCAAGUAGCGUGAAGGAUGACUGCCCUAUGGGUUGUAAACUUCUUUUAUAAAGGAAUAAAACGAGGCACGUGUGCCUUUUUGCAUGUACUUUAUGAAUAAGGAUCGGCUAACUCCGUGCCAGCAGCCGCGGUAAUACGGAGGAUCCGAGCGUUAUCCGGACUGAUUGGGUUUAAAGGGAGCGUAGAUGGGUUGUUAAGUCAGUUGUGAAAGUUUGCGGCUCAACCGUAAAAUUGCAAUUGAUACUGGCAGUCUUAGGUACAGUUGAGGUAGGCGGAAUUCGUGGUGUAGCGGUGAAAUGCUUAGAUAUCACGAAGAAACCCGAUUGCGAGGGCAGCUUACUAAACUGUGACUGACAUUGAUGCUCGAAAGUGUGGGUAUCAAACAGGAUUAGAUACCCCUGUAGUC
This 460-nucleotide ribosomal RNA is filed under the name uncultured bacterium. Its description in RNAcentral is "partial 16S ribosomal RNA". It matches the Rfam family "Bacterial small subunit ribosomal RNA", at positions 338 to 795 of the family's 1533-position model. The record is from RNAcentral.